RNAcentral lists this small nuclear RNA (178 nucleotides) under Dasypus novemcinctus (nine-banded armadillo). RNAcentral's name for it is "U2 spliceosomal RNA (ENSDNOG00000030384.1)". It matches the Rfam family "U2 spliceosomal RNA". Rfam says of the family: U2 is a small nuclear RNA (snRNA) component of the spliceosome (involved in pre-mRNA splicing). The record is from RNAcentral. Lineage: Eukaryota; Metazoa; Chordata; Mammalia; Cingulata; Dasypodidae.
AUUGCUUCUCGGCCUUUUGGCUAAGAUAAAGUGUAGUAACUCUCUGAUUUGUCACUUCCAUUCUAUGAGGGAGGUCCUUUCAUUAUCUUCAUUUUAUGAGAAGGUCAGUGAGGAAGGGAGAGGUUAUUGACUUGCCCAAAAUCACACACCUGGCAGAACCGAGGUGGUCUGACUCCAA